This 254-nucleotide ribosomal RNA is filed under the name uncultured bacterium. Its description in RNAcentral is "partial 16S ribosomal RNA". It matches the Rfam family "Bacterial small subunit ribosomal RNA", at positions 524 to 776 of the family's 1533-position model. The record is from RNAcentral.
UACGUAGGGUGCAAGCGUUGUCCGGAAUUAUUGGGCGUAAAGGGCGCGUAGGCGGCCCGCACAAGUCUGCGGUGAAAACCCCCGGCUUAACCGGGGGCCGGCCGUGGAAACUGUCGGGCUGGAGGCUGGGAGAGGGCAGCGGAAUUCCCGGUGUAGCGGUGAAAUGCGUAGAGAUCGGGAGGAACACCGGCGGCGAAGGCGGCUGCCUGGACCAGUCCUGACGCUGAGGCGCGAAAGCUAGGGGAGCAAACAGG